AAAAUAGAUUUGGUGCUGAAGAAUCGAUAACUAAAUUGCAUUGAAACCCAAAUAUUAAUGAAUUGAACCGAAAAAUCAUACUGAAUUUUAGUUUGGCUCCGGUUGCAAAACAGUACACCUCUACUAAUGGGUAUUAUAUUAAAUGAAUAAAAACAAACCAAUCAAUAGGUGCUGCCACUGCCACUACUAAUCUAUCACCAAAUGCAUAAAUGGGUAGACUAGAGUU
This 226-nucleotide unclassified non-coding RNA is filed under the name Hevea brasiliensis (rubber tree). Lineage: Eukaryota; Viridiplantae; Streptophyta; Magnoliopsida; Malpighiales; Euphorbiaceae. The record is from RNAcentral.